Molecule: ribosomal RNA, 472 nt
Filed under: uncultured bacterium
Lineage: Bacteria
Description: partial 16S ribosomal RNA
Rfam family: Bacterial small subunit ribosomal RNA
Source: RNAcentral
AGUGAACGCUGGCGGUAGGCCUAACACAUGCAAGUCGAACGGCAGCACAGUAAGAGCUUGCUCUUACGGGUGGCGAGUGGCGGACGGGUGAGGAAUACAUCGGAAUCUACUUUUUCGUGGGGGAUAACGUAGGGAAACUUACGCUAAUACCGCAUACGACCUACGGGUGAAAGCAGGGGAUCUUCGGACCUUGCGCGAUUGAAUGGGCCGAUGUCGGAUUAGCUAGUUGGCGGGGUAAAGGCCCACCAAGGCGUCGAUCCGGAGCUGGUCUGAGAGGGUGACAGGACAAAGUGGGAGUGAGAUACGGCCCGGACUCGUACGGGAGGGAGAAGUGGGGAAGAUUGCACAAUGGGCGGAAGAAGGAGGCAGAAAGGCAGCGUGAGGGAUGACGGCCUGCGGGGUGUAAAAAGCUUGCGCAUGGGACGAAGCGGGAGUGACGGUAAGGGGUAAAGAAGAACAGGCUAACUACGGG